CGGAGACGCCAAAGUGCAAAUUUGGAGACGCACCCCAAGAGGUGCCGGGGCUUCUCCCGUUUUAAGAGAGACGGGAGAAGA
RNAcentral lists this transfer RNA (81 nucleotides) under Cyrtodactylus thirakhupti (Thirakhupts bent toed gecko). RNAcentral describes it as "tRNA-Cys". The record is from RNAcentral. Lineage: Eukaryota; Metazoa; Chordata; Lepidosauria; Squamata; Gekkonidae.